This is a long non-coding RNA of Cryptotermes secundus, 1050 nucleotides long. RefSeq lists it as uncharacterized. The transcript is spliced from 4 exons. Lineage: Eukaryota; Metazoa; Arthropoda; Insecta; Blattodea; Kalotermitidae. The record is from RefSeq and is a predicted model, not a curated record.
AUGACAGGAGAACUAUUUUUGUCUUUACUAGGUUAUGUUCUUUCAAUUUGGUAUUUGCCUGAAGUUUAUUUUUAAUUGUUUAAAUUUAUUUAACAUAAAAAUGUAGCAAUCAUUCAUACACGUGAUGCAGUCAAAUACCAGAAGGAUGUGUCCAUUCAGAAAGCCAUGUCUUGGAUCAUUUGUUCAGCCACUUUCAGGAACAGGAAGUUGUUGAGCUUCUUCACUCAGAGUUGUGACCAAGUGAAGUGUGUGUGUAUGUGUGUAAUUGAGCUGCUGUGAAAGCUGCUGGUUCUGGAUAAAUAACAUUUGCACAGCCCAGCCCUUAGUACAGACAAAACAUGAUACCAUCAUCAAGGGACUCCAGUUACCAGUAAGGGCCGGUGGAAAGCGAAGCGUGGAGCAUCAGAAGAAACUGAGAAAUAGUUAUAUAGUACAGCGCCUAAUGAGGUGGGAAGACCACGAAUGAGGAGUAGGUAUGGAUCUAGAAGGAUACGAUGGUACAGAAGUUUGAUAUAUCAAGAAAACUUCACGGAUUAGCCAAGACAACAACAUGGGGUCAAUCUCUCCAAUGUAAAGGACGGGUUAUUUUUUUACCUGUUUUUCAAACGCCUUCAACCAACAAUAGUACCACAAUACAAAAGAACAACCAUCACGAGUAACGCUUCACUGACAGUUCCUUUAACAUACAACUUUCAGCCUUUUGGCGUAAUGGAGUGUGAUACUGGCUACUGACCACUGAUACGGAGAGCACAGCCACGCGGCUCUGUGCGCAUGAGCAGCGGGUUCUCUACGCCGUCCGAUAACAGGCCUCAAAGCGAUUUGCUCUUUUUGCUUUGUUUAGUUGCAGUUCUUGAGAUUAAUCCGUUAUAGAGACUAUGGAUCAGUCAUGUAACUUUUCCGAAAGUACUUAGAGGAUAUCUAUAAAAUUUCGAGACGGUUUUCUCCACCAGAUGUAGUUUUUUGGUUCUUGUACAUCAUACACAAAUUUUACUUUCAGUGAAACUCAGAUUAAUCAUCGUCAGUUUCCUCAGAAACUGUUCGUCGUAUAGA